This 22-nucleotide small nuclear RNA is filed under the name Arabidopsis thaliana (thale cress). RNAcentral describes it as "snRNA_03023". The record is from RNAcentral. Lineage: Eukaryota; Viridiplantae; Streptophyta; Magnoliopsida; Brassicales; Brassicaceae.
AACCGGAAGCCGGGUUACGGUG